UAGAGCACAUCCAACAGUCUCCAGACGUAGACAAUAUGGAGAGUGGAGUUGAUGAGGCCCAGGCUGCAGAGAAUCUUGCCCAGCUAGAGCACAUCCAACAGUCUGCAGACGUAGACGUUAUGGAGAGUGCAGUUGAUGAGGCCCUGGCUC
Molecule: long non-coding RNA, 150 nt
Organism: Lampris incognitus (smalleye Pacific opah)
Lineage: Eukaryota; Metazoa; Chordata; Actinopteri; Lampriformes; Lampridae
Exons: 3
Source: RefSeq, a predicted model, not a curated record